Molecule: ribosomal RNA, 375 nt
Filed under: uncultured bacterium
Lineage: Bacteria
Description: bacterial SSU rRNA
Rfam family: Bacterial small subunit ribosomal RNA
Source: RNAcentral
UAAGACGGAGGGUGCUAGCGUUGUUCGGAAUUACUGGGCGUAAAGGGCGCGUAGGCGGCCGCCCGCGUCGGAUGUGAAAGCCCGGGGCUCAACCCCGGAACGGCAUCCGAGACGGGGCGGCUGGAGACCGGGAGAGGAGGGUGGAAUAGCCAGUGUAGAGGUGAAAUUCGUAGAUAUUGGCUGGAACACCGGUGGCGAAAGCGGCUCUCUGGCCCGGUUCUGACGCUGAGGCGCGAAAGCGUGGGGAGCAAACAGGAUUAGAUACCCUGGUAGUCCACGCCCUAAACGAUGUGCGCUGGGCGUUGGGGGGCUUGCCCCUCGGUGCCGGAGCUAACGCGGUAAGCGCACCGCCUGGGGAGUACGGCCGCAAGGUUA